CAGGUACUCUGUUUAAUUUAGGCUAAAUAUUAAUUGUGCAAUGUAAAAAGUGGAAUCUGAAUAACGUAACCCUAUGAACAGGAAUUAAUAGGAAGCAAGUAGUCCUAAUAUUUUAAAACUGUAGUAAUUAGUGCCUGCUAAACAUGCUAACAAUUUCAUAGGCUGGUUUAUAUCAGUUUUCUCUUGUGCAAUGCUAUCCAGGAAUGUGUUUUCACAGGGAAUGUCUUCUAUGAACCAGGCUCUCGAUAAAUACAGCUGUUGUUCCUCAUUAGAAGCCAUAUCAAGGGCUGCCACAACUGAGAAGAAAUUUUAUCGCUUCCACAUUAAUCGGCAUAUAAAAGGAGUAUUCUUGUCGCAGACCUGGUUCGACUAGGGAGCUAUCGUCACUGGAAACAAGAGCCUGAUUAGGUUCCCACACAGAUAUGAAUAGACUUUCCUUUUUUGAGCAAAAAUGCCAUUUCUCCUUGUUUCUUAAGAACAGACUGGCAAUUGUAAUUGUUAAAGAAAAAAGAAGCCCCAAGCAACUCCCCUGAAUUAUCUUGGAACUCAAGACAUUUGUUUCUUCACUUGUGGCUCCCCUUCUUGUUGUUAUCCAGUCAUUUCUAUUAUCCAUCUGGUUGUCCUCUAUUGGAAAGCCUGAAUUGAUUCACAGCUGUGAAGAUGAACAAGGGCUUGGAUGGCUCUAAGCACACUGAGAUCUCUGAACUGCUAAUGAGGUCAGCAGACCAUGGGACAGAUGUUCAAAGGAUUCAUAAAAUAACUCAGUGCAAAGAUCCUGACCUCUGCUGGGGAUGAUGAUGAUGGUUCCAGAAAAGAGCAUAAUUGCAUGCAAGAGCAUUCAAAAUUAGAGAAACUUUACAGUUAAUGUUCAUUUGUUGCAUCAUCUUUCACAAGAAAUAGACUUUCCAGUAUUACUACAGGGGAGAGUGAUGCUGGUCUUUAGUGUAAAUAUUAGUUAGACCCAGAUAAUAUGCCAUGAACUUAAAAGAGAUAUACAACGGUCUCCUUCAUUUUCAUUCUGAAUGCUAUAGUAUCUCAUCUGACACUGUGUGGUUUCUGUAUUUAAAAAAGAAGUAAUGAUUCAUAAUGUUAACUACAACAAAUCAGUUGUAAAAAUGCUAGCACAAUAGGAAAUGCAAAGAUCACACUUGCACCUACAUUUUCUUUAAAUGGUGCAAACACAGUUUUUUCUGGAAUUAAAGUUAAUUACAGCACCA
This is a long non-coding RNA of Candoia aspera, 1217 nucleotides long. RefSeq lists it as uncharacterized. The record is from RefSeq and is a predicted model, not a curated record. The transcript has 2 exons. Lineage: Eukaryota; Metazoa; Chordata; Lepidosauria; Squamata; Candoiidae.